CACGAGUCGUGCUGCCUCCCAGAGUCCCGGUUCACCCCUCCCACGCGCCGCACCCAAUCCCCUCCUCCCGCACGCCUCGCACCUAAUCGCCUCCAUGAACCCUAGCCCCCAAUGGAUGGGACGCCACACCCUCACUCCUCCCCAGCAGCCUCCAAACCCCCCGCCUCCACCGGAUCCAAGGCGUGCGGCCACGGAGGCGAGCCUCUCCGGCGACGGUGGCAACCUGCAGGCAGAGAAGAUGGGAGAGAGGGAGAGAAGGAAUGAGAGGAGGGAGGUCCGACGGCGGACAGGAGAGGGUCAGCGGCCUGUGCCGGCGAGGUCAGGUGUGACCUGGCAGACCUGGCAAUUGAUGGCGGCCACUCCUGGAUCCUUCUUCCACUUCCCCACUGCCUACCACCAAGCACGGGUCAGGGAGCAUGGGAUUGACGACGGCGGUCGAAAGCCAGGAUGGUUGGCUGAGGAAGAGGGUGAGGACUUGAGGAUUGAAGAGGGUUGCUAUGGAGACUGUUCUUUGCAAGGGUAAAGCAUCAUCAGCACUGGUGGUGGUUGGAUCAUUAGAUGAUUCCCAGUAACUAGGUAUGUCUUCUUAACCAGGUGGACAUUUCCCCAGAUUGGCUCCUCCACAUGUUUCAGACUGACAAAUCAUGACAAUCCUCUUCUUAAAGUACAAAAUGAUGUAGCUAUCUCCACAUGCUUUGAUGAUAUCUUUUUCGUAUGGUUGGAUGGUUCCUUAUCACCGUGAUUCAUAUAAAACUUUGUGAAUUGUAGUGUCAUGAUGAUUUCAUAAGACACAAGGCUUUAAUGUAUAUUUGGAAAGCACAUAAAUGUGAAGAAUCAAUGGUGAAAAUAAGUAAAACACUCUCUAUAUGUUUCCAUUGACAUGAUCAGUGGCUCCAUUUUCUUUGGUAAGUAAUGCUAGGCUACAGGUUAAUAUAUUUUACCAUGCCCAGCUGUUUUUCUCAGUUUCUCCUCUAAAACAUAGACAUCAUUUUCAUUCGGAUUUCAUCCUUAUUAGUUUUAUUUUAUAUGCAUUGAAUAUAACUAUGCAAGUAUAGGUACAAGCAUUGCCAUGACAUACAUCCCAUUUUGAGUUUUAUUCAGUCCUCUUGUCAUUGUUAUUGCGAUCUUAUUUUGCCUCUGUAAAAAUGGGGUAUAUGUCAUGGUUGUUUAACAGAAGGGAGGUGCAUAAGAACAGAUUUGGUGUUCAUCCGCAAUGUGAGUGCUUUCUGCAACUCCAUUUUGUCGAUAUUUUCUGCGAGACAUGAACACCAAAUCUAUUUAUCUAACAUGUUUUGCAUGUUUUGUCGAGUGCUUUCCUGUGUUUUUAUCUAUGGUCUUUUUUAUCAUAUCUAAUAUCCAGCAUUAUACCAUGUCUCACAGAAUUGCUGAUUCUGCACAUACACCUACUUAUUUUACUUCUGUGACAUGCGGUACAAUUUUUCUCUGGGUUGCAGGAUAGGCGAGGCGAUGAUCCAAAAAAUUGGAAAGAAUGGUGCUCCCAUGUUCUCUCUUAUCCAGGAAAAUCAAUACAGCAAAAUGUGUGUUUAAUAAACCUUGCAUUGCUGCAAAAAUUAAUAUUAUGUUUGUGAAUCUAAUGCCAUUGUGGAUAUCAUGAAGAAGAGGGACAUGUUUGUUGCAUUUGAAGGUGUACUUAUGAGUGCAAGGGAGCCUCGAGGAUUUGGGUUUGGGUUUGUCCAGUACUUCAAUCCUGAUGAUGCUGCAGAUGGAAAAUACUACAUGGACGGACAGGUUAUUUGUGGCAAACAAGUAACAGUUUUAUUUGCAUAACAGAACAAAAAGAAGCCUGCUAAGGGGUGUCCCGCGGCAGAUGCGCGCCCAAUGACGCUGUGGAGCUGUCAACUCCCACCCAGAUCGCCACAGAGAACAGUGAAGCAUCCUCCCUUCUCCCUUCCGGUUGCAUCUCCGCCGGGCUUGUCUUAGUGACACAGGCAUGCUGAAGCAAAGAUCCUUUUCCUUCUUUGCAUCCCUCAUUCUCUGUUUUUUCUCACAAUGAAGCACCUUGCUUCUCCACGGCAUUCAACCCAUGAUGGUGUGACUACAGGUGGAUUACAACAUCUUUACCUGAUAAACAUGGAAUAUACAAGAGGAAGGAGCAACUGCAGCAAGCAGUGAUGCUUCAGGCGCUGAUGUGAGGAUUACUGCAUUUGAGAGCAGAGGAAGACAAACGUAAAACUAUCAUGUUCGCUUCCGCCAUUCAUGCCGAGCGGGAUGCGUGGCAGAGGGGAUUUCUUUUCCGCGAAAACCGGAAGAGAGGAUAUUGAAGCCACCUUUGCCAACAUAGAUGAAGAUGGGAGGAUUGGCCAACUUUGGACUCCAACGGCAGCGAUGAUGAUGAAGACUUGAGCUAUGACUAUGAGUCCGAGUAGUAGAAGAAUCAUUUAUGUUUUUGUGCUUUGUCGACAGGGAUUAGAUUUGUUACAAAUAGAACUCUAUGCUACCAAAUUUUAAUGUGCAUAUACUUUUCAUUGUAGACAGCAAGCCCCUGUUUUUCCAGGAGAUUAAAUUUGUUGUCAUAUGUGCUUGCCUGUAACUAAGCAACUAAACCAUGGAUUACUUUUCAUCGCUAA
This is a long non-coding RNA of Triticum dicoccoides, 2588 nucleotides long. RefSeq lists it as uncharacterized. The transcript has 6 exons. Lineage: Eukaryota; Viridiplantae; Streptophyta; Magnoliopsida; Poales; Poaceae. The record is from RefSeq and is a predicted model, not a curated record.